Molecule: ribosomal RNA, 520 nt
Filed under: uncultured Glomus
Lineage: Eukaryota; Fungi; Glomeromycota; Glomeromycetes; Glomerales; Glomeraceae
Description: SSU rRNA
Rfam family: Eukaryotic small subunit ribosomal RNA
Source: RNAcentral
AGCAGCCGCGGUAAUUCCAGCUCCAAUAGCGUAUAUUAAAGUUGUUGCAGUUAAAAGCUCGUAGUUGAAUUUCGGGAUUAGUGCGCUGGUCAUGCCUUUGGUAUGUACUGGUGUUACUGAUUUCUACCUUCUGAAGAACCGUUAUGUCAUUUAUUUGGUGUGGCGGGGAAUCAGGACUGUUACUUUGAAAAAAUUAGAGUGUUUAAAGCAGGCUCGCGCUUGAAUACAUUAGCAUGGAAUAAUGAAAUAGGACGUUUGACCCUAUUUUGUUGGUUUCUAGGAUCGGCGUAAUGAUUAAUAGGGAUAGUUGGGGGCAUUAGUAUUCAAUUGUCAGAGGUGAAAUUCUUGGAUUUAUUGAAGACUAACUACUGCGAAAGCAUUUUGCCAAGGAUGUUUUCAUUAAUCAAGAACGAAAGUUAGGGGAUCGAAGACGAUCAGAUACCGUCGUAGUCUUAACCAUAAACUAUGCCGACUAGGGAUCGGAUGAUGUUAUUUUUAAUGACUCAUUCGGCGCCUUACG